GACGAACGCUGGCGGCGUGCUUAACACAUGCAAGUCGAACGAUGAAGCCGGAGCUUGCUCCGGUGGAUUAGUGGCGAACGGGUGAGUAACACGUGAGCAAUCUGCCCUUGACUCUGGGAUAACUGCGGGAAACUGUAGCUAAUACCGGAUACGACACCUUGGGGCAUCCCAGGGUGUGGAAAGAAUUUCGGUCAAGGAUGAGCUCGCGGCCUAUCAGCUAGUUGGUGAGGUAAUGGCUCACCAAGGCGACGACGGGUAGCCGGCCUGAGAGGGUGACCGGCCACACUGGAACUGAGACACGGUCCAGACUCCUACGGGAGGCAGCAGUGGGGAAUAUUGCACAAUGGGCGAAAGCCUGAUGCAGCAACGCCGCGUGAGGGAUGAAGGCCUUCGGGUUGUAAACCUCUUUUAGCAGGGAAGAAGCGAAAGUGACGGUACCUGCAGAAAAAGCACCGGCUAACUACGUGCCAGCAGCCGCCGCAG
RNAcentral lists this ribosomal RNA (483 nucleotides) under uncultured bacterium. RNAcentral's name for it is "partial 16S ribosomal RNA". It matches the Rfam family "Bacterial small subunit ribosomal RNA", at positions 28 to 523 of the family's 1533-position model. The record is from RNAcentral.